GACGAACGCUGGCGGCGUGCCUAAUACAUGCAAGUCGAACGAACCGCGACUAAGUGCUUGCACUAAGUCAAGGUGAGUGGCGAACGGGUGAGUAACACGUGGGUAACCUACCUCAUAGUGGGGAUAACAGUCGGAAACGACUGCUAAUACCGCAUAGGACAUAGGAUCACAUGAUCUAGUGAGGAAAGGUGGCGCAAGCUAUCGCUAAGAGAUGGACCCGCGGUGCAUUAGCUAGUUGGUAGGGUAAAGGCCUACCAAGGCGAUGAUGCAUAGCCGACCUGAGAGGGUGGUCGGCCACAUUGGGACUGAGACACGGCCCAAACUCCUACGGGAGGCAGCAGUAGGGAAUCUUCCGCAAUGGACGCAAGUCUGACGGAGCAACGCCGCGUGAGUGAAGAAGGUCUUCGGAUCGUAAAGCUCUGUUGUUAGAGAAGAACAGCGCAUAGAGUAACUGCUAUGCGUGUGACGGUAUCUAACCAGAAAGCCACGGCUAACUACGUG
This 501-nucleotide ribosomal RNA is filed under the name uncultured bacterium. Its description in RNAcentral is "partial 16S ribosomal RNA". It matches the Rfam family "Bacterial small subunit ribosomal RNA", at positions 28 to 507 of the family's 1533-position model. The record is from RNAcentral.